RNAcentral lists this long non-coding RNA (643 nucleotides) under Gossypium barbadense (sea-island cotton). RNAcentral describes it as "long non-coding RNA (GBAR_LNC008204)". The record is from RNAcentral. Lineage: Eukaryota; Viridiplantae; Streptophyta; Magnoliopsida; Malvales; Malvaceae.
CUUAGAGAACAUCAAGGGACGACAUUAACAAGGAGAGAUUCAUGCAACCACCCUCCUCCCAAAAAUAGCAAACUUGUCCACUUCCUCCUCCACAAUUCAAGGGUCAGCCACUCAAGGGAGAAAAUGAAGGGAUUCCCUUGCUAAAAAUAGAAAGAGAUGUUGGGGCUUGAACAAGUAUAAAUAGGGGUAUUCAUUCAUUCAUUCGGAGGACACCAGAUUCGGGAAACACACCAGAAUUAAGAGAAAAUUCGAGAGAGAGUUCUUCAAUUCAAGAAAUCGCAAUAUUUUUUAGAGCAGUUGAGAAGUAGAAACUUGAGUGCAUAAAGGAGAGAUUGAUGCCUAAAAGAGGAGGAGAGUGAUUGUGAGAAACAAGCAAGAAGCGAUUGCAGAAAAUCCCAUGCAUCCGACUUUUAUCUCUUCUUAUUCUACAUUAUCCAAGGAUAACACCCUUGACAUUUCUUCUUCCCUUUCUAUUAGCUUUAUUUUUCUUUUAUUGUUGACAAACGAGAUUGCAACUCAUCUUUGUAUUUUUCAUUCAAUGAUUAGGACUUAAUUCCGUUUCGCUAGAAUGAUUAUGAAUCUUUAAGUCUGUAUUUUGACUUUAUGUUAAGGAUGUUUUGUGCAAGAGAUUAUUCAUUCAUUC